Molecule: ribosomal RNA, 440 nt
Filed under: uncultured Anaerolineaceae bacterium
Lineage: Bacteria; Bacillati; Chloroflexota; Anaerolineae; Anaerolineales; Anaerolineaceae
Description: partial 16S ribosomal RNA
Source: RNAcentral
GACUACUGGGGUAUCUAAUCCCGUUUGCUACCUUAGCUUUCGUGUCUGAGCGUCAGAAGUGGGCCAGGAGACCGCUUUCGCCACUGGUGUUCCUCCGCAUAUCUACGCAUUUCACCACUACACGCGGAAUUCCAUCUCCCUCUACCACUCUCAAGUCUGACAGUUUUGAACGACCUCUCCCAGUUAAGCCGGGAGCUUUCACAUCCAACUUAUCAAACCGCCUACACACGCUUUACGCCCAGUAAAUCCGGAUAACGCUCGCCUCCUACGUUUUACCGCGGCUGCUGGCACGUAGUUAGCCGAGGCUUAUUCUAAAGGUACUGUCCUUCCUCAUCCCUUUAAAAAGCGCUUUACAACCCGAAGGCCGUCAUCGCGCACGCGGCGUUGCUGGUUCCCGGUUUCCCAGAUUACCAAUAUUCCCUACUGCAGCCCCCCGUAGG